This 210-nucleotide ribosomal RNA is filed under the name uncultured bacterium. RNAcentral describes it as "partial 16S ribosomal RNA". It matches the Rfam family "Bacterial small subunit ribosomal RNA", at positions 524 to 731 of the family's 1533-position model. The record is from RNAcentral.
UACGAAGGGGGCUAGCGUUGCUCGGAAUCACUGGGCGUAAAGCGCACGUAGGCGGACUCUUAAGUCGGUGGUGAAAUCCUGGAGCUCAACUCCAGAACUGCCUUCGAUACUGAGAGUCUUUGAGUCCGGGAGAGGUGAGUGGAACUGCGAGUGUAGAGGUGAAAUUCGUAGAUAUUCGCAAAGAACACCAGUGGCGAAGGCGGCUCACUG